RNAcentral lists this ribosomal RNA (253 nucleotides) under uncultured bacterium. Its description in RNAcentral is "partial 16S ribosomal RNA". It matches the Rfam family "Bacterial small subunit ribosomal RNA", at positions 524 to 776 of the family's 1533-position model. The record is from RNAcentral.
UACGUAGGGACCGAGCGUUGUCCGGAAUCAUUGGGCGUAAAGAGCUCGUAGGCGGUUUGUCGCGUCGUUCGUGAAAACUCACAGCUUAACUGUGAGCUUGCGGUCGAUACGGGCAGGCUAGAGUUCGGUAGGGGAGACUGGAAUUCCUGGUGUAGCGGUGAAAUGCGCAGAUAUCAGGAGGAACACCGGUGGCGGAGGCGGGUCUCUGGGCCGAUACUGACGCUGAGGAGCGAAAGCGUGGGGAGCGAACAGG